This 1267-nucleotide unclassified non-coding RNA is filed under the name Ceratitis capitata (Mediterranean fruit fly). Its description in RNAcentral is "protein kinase DC1, transcript variant X2". Lineage: Eukaryota; Metazoa; Arthropoda; Insecta; Diptera; Tephritidae. The record is from RNAcentral.
UACAGAAAUAUCAAUAUCAAACAGUUUUUUAGUGAAAAAGAAAAAAAAUUUAACGAAAGGAAAAUGACUAAUCAAAGCAAUGUGAAUAAAGCAUCGGUGAUAUUUAAUCCUGUCGUGGAUUAUGACAGCGUGCUUUCGCUCUUUUUGGAAGAAUUCAAUACACGCUGGAGCAAUGUAAAACCCUCACCGGAGACUGGACUCGAAGGUUAUGAAGAACUGACCAUACUCGGUUCCGGUUCUUUUGGACAGGUGGCAUUGUCCAGGGACAAAUCCACAGGUGAUUAUUAUGCUAUAAAACUGAUGAUGAAGGAAAGAAUCGUCAAGAUGAAACAAGUUGCGCAUGUACAUAAUGAGAAACGUGUUUUGGCUUGCAUUAAAUUCCCUUUCCUAAUUUAUUUGGAGUUCUCACGCAAGGAUUUCGAUCUGCUCUAUUUGGGCUUGCCGUUCAUAAAUGGCGGCGAACUAUUUACCUAUCAUCGCAAAAUGCGUAAAUUUAAUGAGAAACAGGCACGUUUCUAUGCCGCGCAAGUGUUCCUCGCUUUCGAAUACUUGCAUUUUCUACAUCUGCUCUAUCGUGACUUGAAACCGGAAAAUGUGAUGCUCGACAAGAAUGGCUAUAUAAAAAUAACGGAUUUUGGAUUUGUGAAGAAAGUUGAUACACGCACCAUGACCCUAUGUGGCACGCCCGAAUACCUAGCGCCCGAAGUUAUACAAUCGAAACCCUACGGCUCGUGUGUCGAUUGGUGGGCUUUCGGUGUUUUCAUUUACGAAAUGGUCAAUGGCUCUUCACCCUUUGCGCCCUUCAAUCGCGACAUAAUGGUUAUGUAUGGCAAGAUCUGCGAAGGCGAUUACAAAAUGAUACAGAGUUUCAGCCCCGAACUUAAGGACUUGGUUGACAAUUUGUUGCAAGUUGAUUUGUCUAAGCGAUUUGGCAGCUUAAUAAAUGGCAAUAAGGAUAUUAAAAAUCAUGAUUGGUUCAAGCCGAUCGAUUGGUUUGGUAUUCUCAAUCAGGAGGCACCUGCACCGUAUGUGCCACAAAUCGCGCAUGCAGAAGAUUUGUCGAAUUUUGAUAAAUUUCCCGAGUUUCAUCGCGGACCGAAAUCGAAAAUAUGUCGUUUUUGUGACACGUUCGCUGAGUUUUAAUUCUUUUUUUAAGAAUUUUUAUACCCGAUUUACUGUAUUGGCAAGCAAGCAAGUACGAGUUGCUCUAUAAGAAAACUGACGACCGACUGUAACGAGCAGGCAAUUUCUCUAGUAUGCGUUUGCA